Molecule: ribosomal RNA, 497 nt
Filed under: uncultured bacterium
Lineage: Bacteria
Description: partial 16S ribosomal RNA
Rfam family: Bacterial small subunit ribosomal RNA
Source: RNAcentral
GAUGAACGCUGGCGGCGUGCCUAAUACAUGCAAGUCGAGCGAACGGACGAGAAGCUUGCUUCUCUGAUGUUAGCGGCGGACGGGUGAGUAACACGUGGAUAACCUACCUAUAAGACUGGGAUAACUUUGGGAAACCGUAGCUAAUACCGGAUAAUAUUUUGAACCGCAUGGUUCAAAAGUGAAAGACGGUCUUGCUGUCACUUAUAGAUGGAUCCGCGCUGCAUUAGCUAGUUGGUAAGGUAACGGCUUACCAAGGCAACGAUGCAUAGCCGACCUGAGAGGGUGAUCGGCCACACUGGAACUGAGACACGGUCCAGACUCCUACGGGAGGCAGCAGUAGGGAAUCUUCCGCAAUGGGCGAAAGCCUGACGGAGCAACGCCGCGUAAGUGAUGAAGGUCUUCGGAUCGUAAAACUCUGUUAUUAGGGAAGAACAUAUGUGUAAGUAACUGUGCACAUCUUGACGGUACCUAAUCAGAAAGCCACGGCUAACUACGUG